Molecule: ribosomal RNA, 1454 nt
Filed under: Enterococcus hirae
Lineage: Bacteria; Bacillati; Bacillota; Bacilli; Lactobacillales; Enterococcaceae
Description: bacterial SSU rRNA
Rfam family: Bacterial small subunit ribosomal RNA
Source: RNAcentral
ACGAACGCUGGCGGCGUGCCUAAUACAUGCAAGUCGAACGCUUCUUUUUCCACCGGAGCUUGCUCCACCGGAAAAAGAGGAGUGGCGAACGGGUGAGUAACACGUGGGUAACCUGCCCAUCAGAAGGGGAUAACACUUGGAAACAGGUGCUAAUACCGUAUAACAAUCGAAACCGCAUGGUUUUGAUUUGAAAGGCGCUUUCGGGUGUCGCUGAUGGAUGGACCCGCGGUGCAUUAGCUAGUUGGUGAGGUAACGGCUCACCAAGGCGACGAUGCAUAGCCGACCUGAGAGGGUGAUCGGCCACAUUGGGACUGAGACACGGCCCAAACUCCUACGGGAGGCAGCAGUAGGGAAUCUUCGGCAAUGGACGAAAGUCUGACCGAGCAACGCCGCGUGAGUGAAGAAGGUUUUCGGAUCGUAAAACUCUGUUGUUAGAGAAGAACAAGGAUGAGAGUAACUGUUCAUCCCUUGACGGUAUCUAACCAGAAAGCCACGGCUAACUACGUGCCAGCAGCCGCGGUAAUACGUAGGUGGCAAGCGUUGUCCGGAUUUAUUGGGCGUAAAGCGAGCGCAGGCGGUUUCUUAAGUCUGAUGUGAAAGCCCCCGGCUCAACCGGGGAGGGUCAUUGGAAACUGGGAGACUUGAGUGCAGAAGAGGAGAGUGGAAUUCCAUGUGUAGCGGUGAAAUGCGUAGAUAUAUGGAGGAACACCAGUGGCGAAGGCGGCUCUCUGGUCUGUAACUGACGCUGAGGCUCGAAAGCGUGGGGAGCAAACAGGAUUAGAUACCCUGGUAGUCCACGCCGUAAACGAUGAGUGCUAAGUGUUGGAGGGUUUCCGCCCUUCAGUGCUGCAGCUAACGCAUUAAGCACUCCGCCUGGGGAGUACGACCGCAAGGUUGAAACUCAAAGGAAUUGACGGGGGCCCGCACAAGCGGUGGAGCAUGUGGUUUAAUUCGAAGCAACGCGAAGAACCUUACCAGGUCUUGACAUCCUUUGACCACUCUAGAGAUAGAGCUUCCCCUUCGGGGGCAAAGUGACAGGUGGUGCAUGGUUGUCGUCAGCUCGUGUCGUGAGAUGUUGGGUUAAGUCCCGCAACGAGCGCAACCCUUAUUGUUAGUUGCCAUCAUUUAGUUGGGCACUCUAGCAAGACUGCCGGUGACAAACCGGAGGAAGGUGGGGAUGACGUCAAAUCAUCAUGCCCCUUAUGACCUGGGCUACACACGUGCUACAAUGGGAAGUACAACGAGUCGCAAAGUCGCGAGGCUAAGCUAAUCUCUUAAAGCUUCUCUCAGUUCGGAUUGUAGGCUGCAACUCGCCUACAUGAAGCCGGAAUCGCUAGUAAUCGCGGAUCAGCACGCCGCGGGUGAAUACGUUCCCGGGCCUUGUACACACCGCCCGUCACACCACGAGAGUUUGUAACACCCGAAGUCGGUGAGGUAACCUUUUGGAGCCAGCC